CCUACGGGCGGCAGCAGUGAGGAAUAUUGGUCAAUGGACGAGAGUCUGAACCAGCCAAGUAGCGUGAAGGAUGACUGCCCUAUGGGUUGUAAACUUCUUUUAUAUGGGAAUAAAAUGUUCCACGUGUGGGAUUUUGUAUGUAACAGAUGAAUAAGGAUCGGCUAACUCCGUGCCAGCAGCCGCGGUAAUACGGAGGAUCCGAGCGUUAUCCGGGUUUAUUGGGUUUAAAGGGAGCGUAGGUGGAUUGUUAAGUCAGUGGUGAAAGUUUGCGGCUCAACCGUAAAAUUGCAGUUGAAACUGGCAGUCUUGAGUACAGUAGAGGUGGGCGGAAUGCGUGGUGUAGCGGUGAAAUGCUGAGAUAUCACGAAGAACUCCGAUUGCGAAGGCAGUUCACUGGACUGCAACUGACACUGAGGCUCGAAAGUGUGGGUAUCAAACAGGAUUAGAUACCCGAGUAGUC
This 460-nucleotide ribosomal RNA is filed under the name uncultured bacterium. RNAcentral's name for it is "partial 16S ribosomal RNA". It matches the Rfam family "Bacterial small subunit ribosomal RNA", at positions 338 to 795 of the family's 1533-position model. The record is from RNAcentral.